UGAAUAUCCCCCAAAUGGGUGCAUCAGUGCCGAUCAAUUACUAUCAGAACUACUUUGUUGGCUUUCCACAGGGUCCAACAUUGUCUGAGUUGUGCCCCCAUUGUCGAGCUACGAGCUCUACUGCAAGGUGUUUGAUAGCUUUGCUGAAUACUCCAGUAGUUCACCAUAUAUAUAUAUGUAGGGAGCAGAACUAUUUGGCAGACAAAUUAGCAGGCAUUACCAGUACAAACACAGGGAUGUUCACUACAUCUUCUU
Long non-coding RNA from Solanum verrucosum, 255 nucleotides. RefSeq lists it as uncharacterized. The transcript has 2 exons. NCBI's taxonomy places the organism in Eukaryota, Viridiplantae, Streptophyta, Magnoliopsida, Solanales, Solanaceae. The record is from RefSeq and is a predicted model, not a curated record.